This 218-nucleotide long non-coding RNA is filed under the name Elaeis guineensis (African oil palm). RNAcentral describes it as "long non-coding RNA (EGUI_LNC031655)". The record is from RNAcentral. Lineage: Eukaryota; Viridiplantae; Streptophyta; Magnoliopsida; Arecales; Arecaceae.
UCCUUGCAAAACUCUUCAAAUUUAGCCUCUGUGAACUGAUGCCCAUUAUCAGUGAUCAGUACUUGGGGUAGGCCAAACCGACAUAUGAUUGAUUUCCAAAUGAAACCUAUAUUCUUACUUAUGUGAUACGGGCCAGCGAUUCGAUUUCUACUCAUUUAGUAAAAUAGUCUAUGACAAUGAGCAAGAACUUACAUUGACCCGAUACCUAUGGAAAGGGG